AUUCAUCUAUCUGCAUCUGCUUACACAUCUCUACUUAUUGUCUGAUAUGAGAAGCUGUUAUAGAUCACUAAGCUGAAGUUGUCACAGGUAGUACUGAUGGAAUUGGAAAAUCAUAUGCAGAAGAGUUAGCAAAGCAUGGAAUGAAGGUUGUCCUUAUCAGCAGAUCAAAGGAUAAACUUGACCAGGUUUCCAGUGAAAUAAAAGAAAAAUUCAAAGUGGAGACAAGAACCAUUGCUGUUGACUUUGCAUCAGAAGAUAUUUAUGAUAAAAUUAAAACAGCCUUGGCUGGUCUUGAAAUCGGCAUCUUAGUGAACAACGUGGGAAUGUCGUAUGAGUAUCCUGAAUACUUUUUGGAUGUUCCUGACUUGGACAAUGUGAUCAAGAAAAUGAUAAAUAUUAAUAUUCUUUCUGUUUGUAAGAUGACACAAUUGGUACUGCCUGGCAUGGUGGAAAGAUCCAAAGGGGCUAUUCUGAACAUUUCAUCUGGCAGUGGCAUGCUCCCUGUCCCACUCUUGACCAUCUAUUCUGCAACCAAGACUUUUGUAGAUUUUUUCUCUCAGUGCCUCCAUGA
This 571-nucleotide small RNA is filed under the name Pan troglodytes (chimpanzee). Its description in RNAcentral is "processed transcript". The record is from RNAcentral. Lineage: Eukaryota; Metazoa; Chordata; Mammalia; Primates; Hominidae.